Molecule: long non-coding RNA, 8299 nt
Filed under: Homo sapiens (human)
Lineage: Eukaryota; Metazoa; Chordata; Mammalia; Primates; Hominidae
Description: HSALNT0085815
Source: RNAcentral
CGGAGAUUGAAUUUGGUUAUGGUGAUCAGGAUGUUUUUUACUGAGAAUGUGACUCUGACACUUAAUGAUUCAAAUUUGUCUGGGUAGAGAUAAGGCAAAGGAACUACCUAAAGAGGGAGCAACAUAUGGAAAGGCAAAUGGAUCCACAAAUCUGAAACAGGACCUCUACAGCUAAAACUAAGAAAGCAAGGCAUAACUAAAAGUGAAGAAUGAGUUAAGUUCUGCCACCAAAUUGUUGUUUAAACCAUCUUCCUGGAAAAGAACACAAUCAAUUACUGAAGAAAAUGGUUGUCUCUGCAAACCCAUCAGAAUCUGCACAAAUGACUGUGGAAUGUUAGAAUAAGAAGAGUCUAUCAAACAGACUUCCAUCUGCUUCGAUUCCAAAAGUUCAACCUUUAUUAUAAACUAAGCAACUGAAAAUCAAAGUUCUGAAAACUUAAUUGCUUUCCUUAAAUCUUAGUUUCAGUUUAACUUUUAGAAUGAUCCAAUAUGCCAUGAUAUAGGAAUUCACAUUUUGUGUUGUAAUUUUCCUUUCCUUAAUAUCCUGUUGCCUGUUGUCUUCCUGAUAUUUAAUCAAUGACAUUUAUUACAAAGGAAAAAAUAUAUACUGGUGAAUAUGAAAUGGUCUAUAUCAUGCUAACCCCAUAAUAAAACCAUUCUUUUGAUAAUUUGAUUUGAUAUAAAAAGAAAGAGGAGAGAGUUUUGAAUAAUUGUAGGUUGUGUGAGCAUAUUCAGGACAGUUCUUGGAGGGUCGACCAUAUCAUAAUAUUUUAUUAGACCAUAGACUAGAGAGAACUUAGUGUAGAAUGUAACUAUCAUCAUAUUAUGUCAAAAAAAGGGGAAGGGUAAAUUUUUUUUCCAGUUCAGAGGAUUAUAGGAAGGGAGACACCGAUAGUUUUUCAGACGUUUUGGGUUUGCCACGUUCCAUUUAGACUCCUAGAAGACUGCUUCACAGAUUGGUCCUGAGGUUUCAUGCAGUAAAGAAGAUGUAACAAAAUGAGACAGUGAUUCUGAGCAGCACUUCUCCUGACUCUCCAUGACCUGCUCACAGUGCGAAAGAAACCCAGCCUCUGAGGCUGCGAAACAGAAAAACAAGCUAAAUGGUUGGGAGUUUUCUAUAUGCAUUUACUGUAGUGGGUAAUUCACUCUGAUGUCAGAUAAAGAAAUUUUGGGCAGUUUGCCUGGAUGGUAACUAAAGGAGAGUCACAGCAAGAAAUAUGGUUUAGAUGCUUAACUCUAGAGAAAGCUAAAGUGGGGUCAAGUCACUAAGGACAAUAUAAAGAGCCUGAAAUUGUCAAAGUGUAGAUUAUGACUUCCCCUGUCAUUGCAUUCAUCAGUAGAUGACAAGAGAGAGCCAAACCCACCCCAUGGGCAAGAAACUAGCAGCAGUUUCCAACCAGCCCCAGACCUGCUGCUCUCGAUCAAAGAUGGCUAGUGAAACCACCCUAACACCUUCACUUGCCAUGUUCUUAGGAUAGUAAAUAUGAAAUGUUGCCUUCUAAAAAAUCAUUAUUGGAAUGAGAACUAAAACAUGUCAAACAAGAUCCCCUUACAAAGGGGAUCUUCAGUUGAGGAUGUUAGGAGAUUUCUAAUUUCGAAUGUGAAAAAAAAAGUGUUUUCAAUCAUCUGUAAAUGAAAUUUAACAUUUCUAUUAAUUUGUAAUGUAAGCAAUAAAACACAGUAGUAUAGUUAUAUUUGCAAUUUAGUCACCAAUGGAAAUCAUAGAAAUUUUUAUAUUGUAUUACAUUGUUGCAGAUAUAAAUUAUAUUUUACUAUGAUUACUACUUCAAACUUAGAGAAAUUAUUAGAGCUUCCGAUAGCUUCUGCUAUUUACUUCAUUGAUGAGAAAUCACAUUUAUUACUAUACUACAUUUUAAGAUUUUGAGAACUAUAUUUCAGAAUGAUAAUUUUACUUUUAAUACUUUCUACUUGUGUUGUAUUUUUAUGAAAAGCACUGUUAUGAGAGUGCAUCAAUAGGAGUUACUCCUCUGCCAAAGUGGUCUGUGGCAUUAAAGGACAAAAUAAAACAAGCAAAACCGGAUAACAUGUACUUUCCAGUGACUUUGCAAUGAUGGGUUAUUAUAUCAUGGAUGCUUACAGAUUGAAAGAGUUUAAACCUGAGAUGACUGAGGUAUUAUUUAAAAUAGUUUAAAAAGUUAAAUUCAUAGAAAUGGAGAGUAGAGGGUUGUUACUAGGGAUUGGGGUGUGGGGGAGAUGGGGAGAUCUUGGGCAAAGGCUGCAAACUGGCAGUUAUAAGAUGAAUAAAUUCUGGAGACAACAUACAGCAUGAUGACUACAGUUAAUAAUAAUGUACUGCAUCCUUGAAAAUUGCUAAAAGAUUAGAUCUCAAGUAUUCUCAUACACCCAAGACAAAGUAGCUAUUAAUACAUGAGGUGAUGGGCACACUAAUUAGCUUAACUGUGAAAAUCUUCACAUUGUAUAGGUAUAUAUAAACAUCACUUUGUAUACCUUGAGCAUACGCAAUUUUUACUUGUUAUUUAUGCCUCAGUAAAGCUGAAAAAAUUUGUUUUUGUUUGUCCAUAUGAAUGUUUACUUACUUUCUCUGCUGUCAGCAGAAUUGGGGCCUUGAAUAAAAUGAGAUUAAGUCAGUUAUAAAGAAAUAAAUUACCUAUAUUUUCCUUAUAUAUCUAAGUUGUGUUGUGAACAAACUCACAACUACAGAGAGUAAAUAUGAUUUUCCUCAUGCAAAAAUAUAAGUCACUAAUCUGAACAAUGCAUAUUUAUUGAAAGGAUAGAAUAUAUUCCCUUUUUAUUAAUGAGUGCAGCAAUACUUUAUACCUGUGCUGAAUUCCUAGUAUUGAUCUAAAUAGAUAGAACUAACUAUAAUAAGAUUACACAGUAUCUCUAAAAAAUAGAACAGGUAAAGUAAGAAUUUUAAACUUUUAAAUAAUGACUUGUAAAUAAACAUACUCAAUAAUAGCUGAGUUCAGAUUCAUAAAUCUAAAAGCUAUAAUGAGUGGAAGAUAACCCAUUAAAGUGCCACUUAUUAGGCUGAUCUUCAAAUUAUAUUUGUAAUAUUCCGAAUAGAGGAUUCUCUGAUAUGCUGAAUAGAGAAUAAUUUUAUUAAGCAUUAUAAACUUUUUUCUAAGAUAAUUUAUGUCUAAAACUGGAAAAUGUAUGCAAUUUGUAAGCUAAUUUUACUGAUUAGAAAUGUGCAUUAUGAGAAAUUUGCCUUCUGUAAGCAACAUCUGAGUAUAUUUAGAUAGGAUAAUUAUAUUCAAAAAUAAUCCACUCAUUGGUCUUAGGUGUUAAUGAUCAUGUGAUAUGUAACUAAUAUGAAGUAUAACCAUAUAUGUGCAUUAGACUAGUCUCAAACAUUUGAACUCUUGCCAUUGUUGAGGAUCCUUUACUGAUUUUUUGUCAUUGAAUAUUAACUGAGUAAUAUUUACCUUGGGAACAUAAUUUAUAAAUACAAAGAUACUAAAAUUUGUUCUUUUUUAAAAUGCUUACAUUUUUAGAAAAUAAUACACCAGUUCCACCAUCUGUUGUUCAUGGCCAUUUAGUCUGUCUGUUCGUCUAUCUCCUCUAGGUUGUGACUUCUAAAUAUAAUAUUCAAUAACAGUGCCUCUUUUCUCUGGCUACAAGAACCAUACUUACUAAAAAUUGUCUUUAUAUAUAUAUUGGUUUAUCUUUACUGAAAACUGUUGUCAUCAAUCAGAGUCAAUUGAGAGAGUAAUCAUUUGAUUAUUUUUGAAAUAACAAAUCUGUGACAUGCAUAUCUUGGGAAUACCAGCAAAAUUUGAAGUUUGAGGAAGAAGGCAUUAAUCAAGCCUUAUAGGUAGUGUAUUUGGGAAUAAAGGCAUAGUUGUUAAAAAUUCUACAACCUUGACUGGAUGAGUUGAGAACCCUAAUUUUCCCAUGCCUAACUGUUCCAUCUUGAAUGUUACUACAGCCCUCUGUCUUUUUAUCUUCUCUGUAAUGUGGACAUUAUAAGUGUAUCUUAUAAGAAAAUGAAGUUGUAAGAAAAACAACGUGGCAUAUUGUAGGGGUUAGCUAAGUUUAGACACAAAAAUAUGAGCUCAAUGAUGGCUGGAAUUUUGUCUUUUAUUUUCACUAUGCCCCCAAAGCCUAGAAUAUGACUAGCAUAUACAGUAUGCUAGGUAUCCACCUAUUUAUGUUAUAAUAAUAUGCUAUAUCCACCUAUUUACAGUUUUGCUUUCCACACUUUCAGUUACUUAUGUUCAACUGUGGUCCAAAAAUAUUAAAUGGAAAGUUCAGGAAAUAACUCAUUAGUUUUAAAUUGCACACCAUUCUGAGUAGUGUGAUGAAAUCUCCAGACAAGCCCUCCUGCUCUCACAGGUGGAUGCAAAUCACCCAUUUGUCCCAGGUAUCCACUCUGUAUACACCAUCCACCCAUUAGUGACUUAGUAGCAUCUAGCUUAUCUGAUCGAAAACCAUAGUACAGUACUGUACAUAUAGGGUUCAAUACUAUCUGCAGUUUCAGGCAUCCACUUUAAGUCUUGGAACAUAUCCCUAAUGGAUAAUGGGGUGCUACUACAAUAGAUACUAAAUAUGUGCUCAGUAAUUAUAUGUUUAUACAAAUAAAAUACAUAAAAUUUCAUUUUAGCUAAAUAAUAUUUUUUCUGAAAUGUUUGUUUUAUUUUAUAAAUUUGUUGCUAAGACCUAAAAAAAAAUUAAUGUGCAUGUGAUUUCACAAGCAGAGACUCUUGGAAAAAAAGAACAAUGUAAGCUAAUAUAAGAAAAAUGUAUUUGAAUGUAUUUGUCACAACCAUUUAGCAUGCUUUAUUUUAGUCCAUGAGCUCAAUAUCCACAUGAGGUCUAUGGGCAGCAUCUUCUACUUGGAGAACUAUGGAAACAUUCAAUUGCCUAACACAAAACAAAUUAUUUGAUCAUCUGCCUAACAUCCUCAUUAGAUUAAUUUGCUGAAUAUAAUCUAUUACAUAAUAUCAUCAUUUCACAAUACCUAUAAAUAACUUGAGGAUAUUUAUAGCUAUGGAAACUUUGCAGAGGUACUGGGGAGAGAGUGGCUAGGAAAAAUAAAUAAUUUAAUUGGAGGGGGUGCAGAGGGGACUAGAGAAUUUCAUGAAAAGGCCAUUAUUCCCUCUAUGUCUCACUAAAUAUGUGUAGUAAAUUAUUCAAUUUUCAUCAAGUACUUAUGAAUACAAUAGUAAUAUGUCUUAUAUUUAUUCAAAGAUAGUCUAAGUGCAGACCUUAAAGCCUUUAUAAUUUGAAUGAAAUUUGCUAAUUUUGAUUAUUAGUAAGAUAUUUUCUAAAAACAAAUUAAACUUUCACUGUCUAGAGUAAGAGUAGCUCUCAUGAUCCUCAAGAUUACGUUUUGCAAAAUGUAUCCAGAUGACAUUACAAGAAAUCAACGACAUAGUAAUGCAGAAGUUUCUCUCAAAAUUUUUAAUUAUCUAAAUUAUUUAGAAUACAUGGUAACAUUCUUUUCCUGAAUUCCCAUGACAAUAUUUAUAUAGACUAAACAUUUUCCUUCAUCCACAAAAUGGUUGCAAGGAAUGAAUAUCAGCUCCAGGUAUGUGUGAUCACCUGGUAUGUGUGAUACUUGAGUAUCUUUAUAGUGCAUUAGGCUACCAUAUUUUUUUAAGUAAACAUAUCUGCCCAGAAAUUAAGGACAUUACUAUAGUAGGACAUAUUUUUAAUGAUUUAUUAUUAACAUGAAAAUGUUCAUUGUAUGUUAAAACAGACCUUCUCAAUCUAUAAUGUGCAUAAGAAUUCCUCAUUAAAAUGCAGAUUCUAAUUAAGUUUGUCUGCAUUUCUAAUAAGAUGCCAGGUGAUACUGAGACUACCCUGAGGACCACACUUUAAGUGGCAAGACAUAAAACAUCAUAUUAAAUACUGAAAUGCCACCAGAUUUGAUAAAACCUGUUUUCUAAUUUCAGAAAGUUCAUAAGCUAGAAGGAAAUUAAAAAUAAUUAGUCAUGCUAAUUUCUCUAAAAUGAAAUAGUUACCAACAUCUUAAAUUCAAAACAAUCUUGAUGAAGAAUAUAAUACAAAGUCUACUGGAAUUAAUUAAAUUUUUUUACAGCUAAAGAAUAUGCUAUGCUUUUUUAAAUUUUAAAAUAUCUGCAUCAGUAAUUUGUCUGUAUCUGUUUAAAUAAAAUGCCUAUUUAAACAUUUAACAAAAACAGAACAACAAUUAAAAAAAAAAACACCUCUCUAUGGUAGGCAAUGUGGAGUGGUAGUGGUUUCCACUCAAAUAGAAGAGAGGUCUGCAAUGUAUGGCCUGUGGGUCAGAUCCAUACUACUACCUGCUUUCAUACAGACCACAAGCUAGGAAUUUUGUUUUUUUUAUGUUUUCUAACAGUUGAAAAACAAUUUACAAAAGAGUAUUUCUUAAAAUAUUAAAAUGAUACAAAAUUUAAAAUUCAGUGUUUAUAAAACUGCUGCUGUCACACAGCAAUGCCCAUUCAUUUAUGUACAGUCUAUGGAGUCUGCUAUGGCCUGAAUAUUUGUUUCUUCCCAAAACUAAUACGUUGAAACCAAAUCCACAAUGCGAUGGUUUUAAGAGGUAAGGCAUCUGGAGAUGAUUAGGUGAUGAGGAUGAAGUCUUUAUGAAUGGCAUUAGUGCCCUUAUAGAAGAGGCCCAGGGGAGUUUGUUUGCUCCUUCCAAUAUGUGAAGAAACUGCCAGAAGGUGCUAUCUAUGAACCUGGAAAUGGACCCUCAUGAGAUACCAAAUCUGCCGGCACCUUGAUUUUGGACUUCCCAGCCUCCAAAACUAUGAGAAAUAAAUCUCUGUGUAUGAGCCACUAGUUUAGGGUAUUUGUUAUUGCAGCACAAACUGACAAAGACAACUGCUCUCAUGUUACAGCAGGCAGAGCUGAAUGGUGGCCACAGGACCACAUGGUCCAUAAGCAUGGAAUUUGUAUUUUCUGUUAAUUUUGUAAAAGUAUAAAAACCAACCAGGAAAGUAAUGUGUGUGUGCAUUAGAUAUUUUUUCUAGUAUUGUAGUCAUGUAAAUAUACAUUUUCUAUUCCUUAGAAGAGGUAUUUUUUAGUUUUAAAAAGGCCACAGGACUUGAAGUCAGGAGUCAUGUCUUUAAGGAUCUGGAGCAGAAACUCCAAUGCUGUUAAAUGAGAGGGUCAUAUCACAAGGCUUCUAUAACCCUUUUCUGAUCCAGCCUUUACAUAGGUAUAUAUUAAGCUUAUUUUUAUUUCUUUGCUUUAAAUUUUUCAACUCUGUGAUGUUGUACUAAAAGGAAAAAUUGAUAUUAUUUAAACUGUUUAACACAUGACUUUCCUUUCUAUGAACCUUGAAUUUGUUCUUGUUUAAAGUGUUUUAUUGUCUUGGCUCUAUAAGCUUGUUUCUUUUGCAUACUGUGGGAGUUUAAAAUAGGUUAUUUGUGUAGUCAUCUGAUCAAAGUUAGUGAAGUUUUAUUGCUACAAUAAAAUAACGUUUAGCACAAACUCCAAAUUUUAAUAAAAAUUCCAUCUAUAUCCAAACAUAAAACACACUGUGUAGCUGAGUUGUAAUUUUUGCCUAAACUAUACGCUGAAGAUUCAUGAAGGAAACCUAAAUAUAUGAAGUAUUUAAAUAGCCAGCUUAGAGACAGAAUUACUUAUGCUAAAGGACACAAACUUUCUACAGGAAAAGUAAAAUAAAUGGAAAUGUUAAGCAGUUUCGCAAACUGCAUUUGGCAUUUGAUAUAAAGAAAGCAAAACAAUAUAAAUUUUAUGAAUAGUAAGAAGGAUCCAUGGGCUUUUGGAAAAUUUCUUAUAUAGGAAAUAUUUCAUAGCAGAUUAAAUAAAUAAUUCAAUGUAACAAAGGAAUUCUCCAACAAUUACUAACCUUUAGGAAGGUUCUGUAUAUACUGUUUCCUAGGCUGUAAUUCCUUGCACUUACUAGCUGGAUGAUGUAGUCCAGUGAAAUUAUCUCUUUAAGCCUGUGUGUGUGUAAAACUGAUAAUUAACUAUUAUAUAUAUCUUGUAUAUUAUAUGCUAUCCCACAAUAUUUUUGUUUGUAUUCAAUAAAAUAAUGUAUUAAAUUUAGUCUUAUCAACAAUAAAUCCUUGAUAAAUAUUUGCUAUUAUUAUAAAUUUUAUGGGCACACACUUUUAGGUAAGAAAGGAUCAGACUGACAAUAUUUUCAAAUGUAUAAUUUUAAUAUAAUUAGUGAUAUUUUAGCAAUUGAACGACUGAUAUUCUUUGAUAUUUUAUUCAAGCAUACAGAAAUAAGACAUCCUAAAAAGAGGAAAAAUGGCAAAUGGUAUUUCCUAUCUAUAUCUUUAAAAAUAGCCUUAGUGACGUACAAUUGUACACACAAAAACUGAAUGUUCUCAUAUACGAUUUGAUGAGUUUU